ACGUAGGGGGCAAGCGUUAUCCGGAUUUACUGGGUGUAAAGGGAGCGUAGACGGCGAGACAAGUCUGAAGUGAAAGCCCGGGGCUCAACCCCGGGACUGCUUUGGAAACUGCCUUGCUAGAGUGCUGGAGAGGUAAGUGGAAUUCCUAGUGUAGCGGUGAAAUGCGUAGAUAUUAGGAGGAACACCAGUGGCGAAGGCGGCUUACUGGACAGUAACUGACGUUGAGGCUCGAAAGCGUGGGGAGCAAACAG
RNAcentral lists this ribosomal RNA (251 nucleotides) under uncultured bacterium. Its description in RNAcentral is "partial 16S ribosomal RNA". It matches the Rfam family "Bacterial small subunit ribosomal RNA", at positions 525 to 775 of the family's 1533-position model. The record is from RNAcentral.